This 253-nucleotide ribosomal RNA is filed under the name uncultured bacterium. Its description in RNAcentral is "partial 16S ribosomal RNA". It matches the Rfam family "Bacterial small subunit ribosomal RNA", at positions 524 to 776 of the family's 1533-position model. The record is from RNAcentral.
UACGUAGGGUGCGAGCGUUGUCCGGAAUUAUUGGGCGUAAAGAGCUCGUAGGCGGUCUGUCGCGUCUGCUGUGAAAUCCCGAGGCUCAACCUCGGGCCUGCAGUGGGUACGGGCAGACUAGAGUGCGGUAGGGGAGAUUGGAAUUCCUGGUGUAGCGGUGGAAUGCGCAGAUAUCAGGAAGAACACCAACGGCGAAGGCAGCUCGCUGGGACGGAACUGACGCUGAGGCGCGAAAGCGUGGGGAGCGAACAGG